Molecule: ribosomal RNA, 1263 nt
Filed under: Cancellaria cooperii
Lineage: Eukaryota; Metazoa; Mollusca; Gastropoda; Neogastropoda; Cancellariidae
Description: 16S ribosomal RNA
Rfam family: Bacterial large subunit ribosomal RNA
Source: RNAcentral
UAAUAAAACUACACUUGUUAAUUUUAUCUUUACAAAAUCAAUAGAAACAUCAUGUUUAUCAAGUAAAAGUGAAAGAAAUUUGUUUUUUAAACCUCUAAAAGUACUGAAAAGGAAUGUAGUUAAAUUAGAUUAAAGAAAUGAUUAAGUCAUGUACCUUUUGUAUCAUGGCCCAGCUAGAUUUAAACUUUAAAAAAAGUUUCUCGAAAUCUAAUGAUCUAUUUUAAUUCUCAUUUUAGCGUAACCGGGUAGUUGUUGCAAAAACUUCCGCAGAAAUUAAAAUAGAAAUGAAAUUUUAUUCGUAUUAGGUGAUAGCUAGUUCCUUUUAAAGGUAUAUAAGUACCAGAAAUUAGUUGGUAAUUAAAAAUCAUAGAUUUUAAUUGCAUAUAAUUUUUUUAUAUUUGUGAGGAUAAGCUCGCAAAUAAUAUAAUUUAGAAGUAUAAAAUUUUGGUUAAAUUUAAGCUUAGAAAUAGCUAUAACUGUAAAUCUUGUUAUAAUUUUAUAUAGAAAAGAAAAAAUAAACUACUUUACUAUUUUUGAAUAAGGAAAAUCUUUAAACCUAAAAAUAGACUAUAUUAAUGCUGGGAUGAGUAUUUUUAUUCCAUUCUGUUUUGGACACUUAAUUCAAAACCUUAAAAUUUUAUUAAACAACUAAAUUAUAAAAAGGAAUCUCGGCAAACAUAUUUGUUCUGCCUGUUUAUCAAAAACAUGGCUCCCUGUAAUUUUGUAAAUAGGGAGUCGGUCCUGCCCAGUGAAAUUAUUUAACGGCCGCGGUACCCUGACCGUGCGAAGGUAGCAUAAUCAUUUGCCUUAUAAUUGAAGGCUUGUAUGAAUGGUUUGACUAGAACAAAGCUGUCUCUUUAUAAUUCUAUAAAACUUUAUCUCUUGGUGAAGAAGCCUAGAUGAAAUUAAUAGACAAGAAGACCCUAUCGAGCUUUUAAAAAAAUUAAUAGACUAAUUAUUCAUGUUUAUAAAAAAUUAAUAUUAAAAAUUUUGGUUGGGGCGACUGAGGAACAAAUAAAGCUUCCUCAACUUUAAAAACUUACGCAUAUUGAUCCAAGCUUUUUGAUUAAAGAAAUUAGUUACCGUAGGGAUAACAGCAUUAUCCUUUUUGAGAGUUCUUAUCGAAAAGAGGGUUUGUGACCUCGAUGUUGGACCAGAAUAUCCUAAAGAUGCAGAAGUCNUUGAGGGUUGGUCUGUUCGACCAUUAAAAUUCUACGUGAUCNGAGUUCAGACCGGCGNGAGCCAGGUCAGUUUCUAUCUUUA